GAUGAAGAACGUAGCGAAAUGCGAUACUUGGUGUGAAUUGCAGAAUCCCGUGAACCAUCGAGUCUUUGAACGCAAGUUGCGCCCGAAGCCUUUAGGCCAAGGGCACGUCUGCCUGGGCGUCACGCAUCGCGUCGCCCCCAAGACAUGCUCAUCCAG
This 156-nucleotide ribosomal RNA is filed under the name Peplidium sp. Barker 7696. Its description in RNAcentral is "5.8S ribosomal RNA". The stretch from base 1 to 122 matches the Rfam family "5.8S ribosomal RNA", at positions 35 to 154 of the family's 154-position model. Rfam says of the family: 5.8S ribosomal RNA (5.8S rRNA) is a component of the large subunit of the eukaryotic ribosome. It is transcribed by RNA polymerase I as part of the 45S precursor that also contains 18S and 28S rRNA. Functionally, it is thought that 5.8S rRNA may be involved in ribosome translocation. The record is from RNAcentral. Lineage: Eukaryota; Viridiplantae; Streptophyta; Magnoliopsida; Lamiales; Phrymaceae.